GACGGACGCUGGCGGCGUGCCUAACACAUGCAAGUCGAGCGAUGAAGCUCCUUCGGGAGUGGAAUAGCGGCGGACGGGUGAGUAACACGUGGGUAACCUGCCUCAUAGAGGGGAAUAGCCUUCCGAAAGGGAGAUUAAUACCGCAUAACAUAACUUUAUCGCAUGGUAGAGUUAUCAAAGGAGCAAUCCGCUAUGAGAUGGACUCGCGGCGCAUUAGCUAGUUGGUGAGGUAACGGCUCACCAAGGCGACGAUGCGUAGCCGACCUGAGAGGGUGAUCGGCCACAUUGGAACUGAGACACGGUCCAGACUCCUACGGGAGGCAGCAGUGGGGAAUAUUGCGCAAUGGGGGAAACCCUGACGCAGCAACGCCGCGUGAGUGAAGAAGGCCUUAGGGUUGUAAAGCUCUGUCAUAUGGGAAGAUAAUGACGGUACCAUAAGAGGAAGCCACGGCUAACUACGUGCCAGCAGCCGCAGUAA
Molecule: ribosomal RNA, 478 nt
Filed under: uncultured bacterium
Lineage: Bacteria
Description: partial 16S ribosomal RNA
Rfam family: Bacterial small subunit ribosomal RNA
Source: RNAcentral